UUGACAUAUACAGGAAUGUUGUAGAGAUACAGCAGCCGCUUGCGGUCUGUAUACAGGUGCUGCAUGGCUGUCGUCAGCUCGUGCUGUGAAGUGUGGGUUAAGUCCCGCAACGAGCGCAACCCUAUCAUCUGUUGCCAGCAUUUAAGGUGGGGACUCAGAUGAGACUGCCGGUGACAAACCGGAGGAAGGUGGGGACGACGUCAAGUCAUCAUGGCCCUUAUGUCCUGGGCUACACACGUGCUACAAUGGCCGGUACAGAGUGAAGCGAAACCGCGAGGUGAAGCAAAACGCAGAAAGCCGGUCUCAGUACGGAUUGGAGUCUGAAACUCGACUUCAUGAAGUUGGAAUCGCUAGUAAUCGCGCAUCAGCAUGGCGCGGUGAAUACGUUCCCGGGCCUU
This 398-nucleotide ribosomal RNA is filed under the name uncultured Spirochaeta sp. RNAcentral describes it as "bacterial SSU rRNA". It matches the Rfam family "Bacterial small subunit ribosomal RNA", at positions 981 to 1382 of the family's 1533-position model. Lineage: Bacteria; Pseudomonadati; Spirochaetota; Spirochaetia; Spirochaetales; Spirochaetaceae. The record is from RNAcentral.